GUCACAUGUGGAAAAUGGGCUUGUGUCAAAUGGGAAUGCUGUGCGGAUUCUUCAGCCGGCUGAUGUAUCUGAGAGGCGGCUGGCUACAUGCGGCUGCACCCACAGUCUGAGCCCACGGCCCUGUGGCGUUGGCAAAUACAUUACCUUCAGUCAUCCUUGCACGUUAUAGGAUAGAGAGAUUUGAUGGCUUCCGGGUUUACGGCUCUGCCACUCAAAGGACUGUACGCUUACGUGUUGCCAUCGCCUUGGAAACGAGUAAUGAUUGUUCACCAUUUCCUUUAGGUCACAGCUUGAGGUGUCUAAGAAACAAAGGAACCGUGGAAAGGGAUGUGCACUCCCAUCAUCUAACCAAACACACUGAGCCUCCAGUGGCUGUGCUGGUGGCUGAUUUCGUCCUGCUCUGCUUUCCGAGGACCUCAAACCUACAAAACACACUUGGCUCAGUUAGGGAAGUCUCAACACAAAGGACCGAAUGUUUCUAGACACCUCCAACCGGAACAGAACGUGGGCCGUAUGUGUGAUUAUUUGCCCUCCAGAGUCCUGACAAGCCCAGCCGAGGGCAUGGCCAUGCUCUCCCUCAAACCUUCUCCUCAUUGCUCACACAGCCACAUUUCCUGAUUCAGCAUUUAUAUUCCUUCCUUGCAUGUUUUUAGUUGACUUGUGGAUGAGUUAGUUCCAAGUCACAUGCUUCAGGCUUCUGAGCAACAGGGGUGGUCUGUCCUACUGGUUCGGGUGGCCUCCGCAUCAGAUGCACCCUCUUGGGACCUCCUUACAGGGUUCACCAAGAUGUCCUCUUGUUUCAAGCCCUCCUCAAGUCUCCUGGAGAUCUCUUCAUAUCACAAUUGACUUUCCGCAGAACCCCAAACCUCCCCCACAGCUGCUUCCCACCCUCUGCUCAGAACUGCGUGUGGAGGUCCCCUUCUCCCGUGUGACACAACUCAGUAUCCACUUAAUGGAGCCCUCCAACUUCUGGAUCCUAAACUCAUCAACCACCUCCUGACUCCUGUGCCCAUCAUCUGAUUUGCUUCAGAGCUCCCCUUUGUACAUGCAAAACUCUAUGUCUGUCUGCCUGUCCAUCUGUUUGUCUGUCUGUGUCUGUGUCUCUCUGACUGUGUGUGUGUGUGUGUGUGUGUGUGUGUGUGUGUGUGUGUGCCUUUGUCUGUCUGUCUUUCUCUGUGUGUGUGUUUCUCACUCCCCACUACAUUCUGGGCUUCUCUGAGUGGUGGGGCUUCUAAUCUGAGUAGCUGCUUCUUUCCUAAUCCAGAAGGGCUGUGGGAUCACACUGCGACUCCAGCAACCUAAGAAGGCCGGAAGAGCUGCUGUCAUUGAGUUGUUUUAGCUUCAGAUAAAAAGUGUCUCUUUCACUACAUUGUCAAUUAAUCGACACUGCAGUUCAGGAUGCAUUACCAUGCCUGGAGGAAGCCUCUAGAACAUUGUGAAGAGCCCCAUUCACCCUAGCACCACUUUAAAGAAAAGUCAGAGGAGCCUUCUAUCAUCACAGCAAUCUUCGAAGCAUUCGCUGCCACUUCUUUCUACCCCAGGGCAGGAACAAUGGCUGAGUAUAAAGAUUUAAACACUCAGAGCCACUGGGGUUCGAAACCAUUCUUUGCAUUCCAUAGCUUUAACCUCGGAUUUCCUGGAGGUCCAAUUAUUGUCAGCAUAGAUUCAUCCUCAUCUUAAUCAUCUUCACCCAUUAACUCAGACAAUAUUUGUAGACCCUGCUGGGUUCCAGAAACUUGGAUGUCUAUGAGAACACAGCAGGGAUGGGACACAGUCCCAUGGCACGGGAACACAGACACCAGAGCAGCUGAGCACAAUGAGACCUGGAUUUGGUACAGGGAACACAGACACAUCUGGGCCAUGGGAACUUUAAUGUCUGUUGUUCUUAAGGAACAAGAUACGUCUUCUCUGACCUCUUAGGCUGUGCAGAGCUCAUCAAGGAGUUCACAUACCUCCUGGGAAAUGGCCCUGGAUAUUAUUGUCUUGGUUGUUGGGUUGGGGCAUGGAAUUCUCCUCCUGUGACAUUUUCCUCCAGGUCAGUGUUGGUACAAAGCAAAGCUAUUGAUUUGUUUUGAGCCAGACACCUUAUUAAACUUGUUUUACUGUG
This is a long non-coding RNA of Mesocricetus auratus (golden hamster), 2107 nucleotides long. RefSeq lists it as uncharacterized. The transcript is spliced from 2 exons. The record is from RefSeq and is a predicted model, not a curated record. Lineage: Eukaryota; Metazoa; Chordata; Mammalia; Rodentia; Cricetidae.